RNAcentral lists this ribosomal RNA (932 nucleotides) under uncultured bacterium. Its description in RNAcentral is "bacterial SSU rRNA". It matches the Rfam family "Bacterial small subunit ribosomal RNA", at positions 52 to 974 of the family's 1533-position model. The record is from RNAcentral.
CACAUGCAAGUCGAACGGCAGCACAGCCCCGCAAGGGGUGGGUGGCGAGUGGCGGACGGGUGAGGAAUACAUGGGAAUCUACCCUGUCGUGGGGGAUAACGUAGGGAAACUUACGCUAAUACCGCAUACGACCGAGAGGUGAAAGCGGCGGACCGCAAGGCGUCGCGCGAUUGGAUGAGCCCAUGUCGGAUUAGCUAGUUGGCGGGGUAAAGGCCCACCAAGGCGACGAUCCGUAGCUGGUCUGAGAGGAUGAUCAGCCACACUGGAACUGAGACACGGUCCAGACUCCUACGGGAGGCAGCAGUGGGGAAUAUUGGACAGUGGGCGCAAGCCUGAUCCAGCCAUGCCGCGUGGGUGAAGAAGGCCUUCGGGUUGUAAAGCCCUUUUGUCCGGAAAGAAAAGCUUCGGGUUAAUACCCCGGGGUCCUGACGGUACCGGAAGAAUAAGCACCGGCUAACUUCGUGCCAGCAGCCGCGGUAAUACGAAGGGUGCAAGCGUUACUCGGAAUUACUGGGCGUAAAGCGUGCGUAGGUGGUUUGUUAAGUCUGAUGUGAAAGCCCUGGGCUCAACCUGGGAAUUGCAUUGGAUACUGGCAGGCUAGAGUGCGGUAGAGGGUAGUGGAAUUCCCGGUGUAGCAGUGAAAUGCGUAGAGAUCGGGAGGAACACCAGUGGCGAAGGCGACUACCUGGACCAGCACUGACACUGAGGCACGAAAGCGUGGGGAGCAAACAGGAUUAGAUACCCUGGUAGUCCACGCCCUAAACGAUGCGAACUGGAUGUUGGGAGCAACUAGGCUCUCAGUAUCGAAGCUAACGCGUUAAGUUCGCCGCCUGGGGAGUACGGUCGCAAGACUGAAACUCAAAGGAAUUGACGGGGGCCCGCACAAGCGGUGGAGUAUGUGGUUUAAUUCGAUGCAACGCGCAGAACCUUAC